This 66-nucleotide transfer RNA is filed under the name Sininocellia gigantos. RNAcentral describes it as "tRNA-Pro". Lineage: Eukaryota; Metazoa; Arthropoda; Insecta; Raphidioptera; Inocelliidae. The record is from RNAcentral.
CAGGAAAUAGUUUAAUAAAAAUAAUAAUUUUGGAGAUUAUUGAUAAUAAUUAUUUAUUUUUUCUGA